Molecule: unclassified non-coding RNA, 241 nt
Filed under: fungal sp.
Lineage: Eukaryota; Fungi
Description: partial internal transcribed spacer region
Rfam family: Eukaryotic small subunit ribosomal RNA (bases 1-46)
Source: RNAcentral
AAGUCGUAACAAGGUUUCCGUAGGUGAACCUGCGGAAGGAUCAUUCACAAUUUGAGGUGUUUGGGUUGGAGAGGGGUGGUUGGGCUGGGGGGAGGUGGGUGCUGUGCUAGACACGGCUGCCUACCGACCCGCUGCCUGCCGUCCAGUAUCCGCCCGGCAACCAAUCGCGCUUGUCUUGUUUGUCAGAUUGUUGGUGAAACAAAAGUAUAUACAACUUUUAACAAUGGAUCUCUUGGCUCUU